RNAcentral lists this ribosomal RNA (497 nucleotides) under uncultured bacterium. RNAcentral's name for it is "partial 16S ribosomal RNA". It matches the Rfam family "Bacterial small subunit ribosomal RNA", at positions 28 to 507 of the family's 1533-position model. The record is from RNAcentral.
GAUGAACGCUGGCGGCGUGCCUAAUACAUGCAAGUCGAGCGAACAGAUAAGGAGCUUGCUCCUUUGACGUUAGCGGCGGACGGGUGAGUUACACGUGGAUAACCUACCUAUAAGACUGGGAUAAAUUCGGGAAACCGGAGCUAAUACCGGAUAACAUAUUGAACCGCAUGGUUCAAUAGUGAAAGGCGGCUUUGCUGUCACUUAUAGAUGGAUCCGCGCCGUAUUAGCUAGUUGGUAAGGUAACGGCUUACCAAGGCAACGAUACGUAGCCGACCUGAGAGGGUGAUCGGCCACACUGGAACUGAGACACGGUCCAGACUCCUACGGGAGGCAGCAGUAGGGAAUCUUCCGCAAUGGGCGAAAGCCUGACGGAGCAACGCCGCGUGAGUGAUGAAGGUCUUCGGAUCGUAAAACUCUGUUAUCAGGGAAGAACAAAUGUGUAAGUAACUGUGCACAUCUUGACGGUACCUGAUCAGAAAGCCACGGCUAACUCCGUG